RNAcentral lists this ribosomal RNA (263 nucleotides) under uncultured bacterium. RNAcentral's name for it is "partial 16S ribosomal RNA". It matches the Rfam family "Bacterial small subunit ribosomal RNA", at positions 524 to 786 of the family's 1533-position model. The record is from RNAcentral.
UACGUAGGGAGCGAGCGUUGUCCGGAAUUACUGGGUGUAAAGGGUGCGUAGGCGGGGGACCAAGUCAGGUGUGAAAACUAUCGGCUCAACCGAUAGCCUGCAUUUGAAACUGGUUCUCUUGAGUGAAGUAGAGGCAGGCGGAAUUCCCGGUGUAGCGGUGAAAUGCGUAGAGAUCGGGAGGAACACCAGUGGCGAAGGCGGUCUGCUGGGCUUUAACUGACGCUGAGGCACGAAAGCAUGGGUAGCAAACAGGAUUAGAUACC